CAAAAUGCUAUUAUUCCAUCGCAAAUUGAAAUUGAACAGUACAUAUAAGAUCAACAUUUUUUUUAUAUAUACAUAUAAUGAAACAAUGUUAUUGGCAUUGGCUUAUGCCAUGCACUUCAACACACUAAUUACACAUAAUAGCUGGUCCCUUAUCAUGAUAGAAUUAGACGCAGAAUCUCUCCUGAGAACUUGAAUGACUUUUCUGUUUCUUCCAGACAAUGAUCUUUCUCUUCUCGUGUCCAUUCCUAAAGAAACAACAAAGGAUUACCAUCAUUACAAAAAAAAAAAACACUAUCACUUUAGCCUUUGCAGCCUAGACAUGAAGAAAAAAGUUGAAAUCAACUUAUUGGUUAUAUGCCACAAGAUUGUGACGAAAAUAUAUGCAAAUAAUCAAGAGUUUUCAUGAAACAUACUUCAGCAACUUUAUUCAGUUUGUCCCUCACAUUCUGCAACAACUGCUUAAGGUCGCCAUCCCAUUUAUAGAACUCCAAAGCUUGGUCGUUAAGUAACUGACCAGCAAUCUGUAAGAGUAAAAGUAAGAAUGAAGGGAAAUCUAUUCUUGUGUAAAAAGGAAUAGUCAACAAUCAUUAUUAGUUUUUUGCCAACAUCAGAUGAAAAAUGACUGAAACAUAUCAAAUGCAUGUUGUGUAUUACUUCAUAUACUAGUAUUAUGAAAAGAAUGUACAGUGUUGUAAACGUGAUUUACUCCGGAAACUUUACAUAUCCAACUACCCAAAAAGUAGUGGGAAACCAUACUUAUGCAUAGAGUUAAGGAGUCAGUUGUUUUGCUUGUUGAAUUUUUUAAACAGCUUAUAAUCAAAAUGCUUCAGAAAAUGGUUUAUGCGGAAAAGAUUUUUCAGGCGCAGAAUAUGCUAAUCUAAAUCAUGUACACAUUAACUCAGAAUAUUGUGUAAUUACAAUCAGAAUGCCCGUAAUACCACCCAACAAAGUAUUUAAUGCUGAGCGAUGUGAAACAUAUGAGUAAACAAGUGACACAACUACCAUGUAAAAGAAUGUCAAAACAUCACCAUUUCAUCAAAAAAUCAAGUAUGAUUUGACAUCUCUAAGGAGAUAUCUAUCAAGAUUAAAAUGAAAAUAUCUUCACAUAAAAAGUGUUAUAUUGUUAAUCGUGAAAGAUACUCGACCAAAGAUGUGCUACAUAUAAUCAAUGUGUUGCUCAGCAUGAUUUAAGCUCUUUUAGCCUAGAUGCAAAUAGUUACCUUCUUCCCAAUCAUUCGACCGCCAGCUGAAUGAGCAAAGUAGAUGUUGUAAAAGUGGCAAAUGAAGGCUUGAGGGUCGUUCUGAGAUAAAUCUGUAAGAUAUUGAGCAUAAGUAAGACCAGGAGAUGAAGGUUCAGGAAUGGUAUAACCUUGCUCCUUGAACCACUUCAAAUCUUUGUCCAAAUUUGCAGACCUUUCCAAUCCAGUAUUUUUGAAUUCAGCAUCUACACAACAAACACCAGCCAAUUGGAUAAUAAAAUUAACAGAGAACCUUAGUACACCCGAGAACACAAACUCAACAGUUAUCUCUAGAUAUGAAAAGAAGUAUAUGUACCCGUAACAGCAAGAAACACUUAGAAAAUAAAAUCUAUCUGAACUAACAACAAGCCCUGGAUAUCAAGAAGCUUAAAGAUAACGUUACGAAAGAACAAUCAUAUGGUUUUGCAGUUAAUUACUAUAAUUCAAUCCCAAACAAAGCCGUAAGAUAAUCAAAAUGCACAAUCGAUUUAUCUAAACAGUAACUAGAUAAAGACAAGACAACUAUGAAAAACUUCAAUGGUGUGCCCAGUUAUUUCAAAAGUACAGAUAUGACUCCAGGAAAAAUUUCAGUGGUGGAAGCAGCUGCGGAUGUAAAUCAAAUUCAAAUGUUUAUCUUCCAGUGAUAAAAGGAGAAUUCGACUGGGAAAAAAACCAGACUACAUAUAAAAAUUGCAAAAAGACAAAAAAACAAAAAACAAAAAAAAACAUAGAGAAGCACAAUAGUUUUUUCAUCUUAAGGAGUUAUUAUUAUUGGUUUGAGUUUGAGAUGGUAGUACUAGGGAACUGAUUCUCUUCGGUGAGAAUACUUUCUGCAGUGAAAUAUCAACCAUUUUGCCAAACAAGAUUGAGGGGCUUUUCACUUCCCUCCAUGUAAAUCUCAAAGAUCAUAUGCCAAACAAGAUUUAAGUAUUCUUUUUGAAUUUCAAACAAGUACAGGUCAUAUGAUCAUAUCAAUUCACAACUGCAUCAUAAUCGGGUUAGCAAUCAGGAUUUUAAAAAGCUUCGGUAAUAUUAGUUAGAGUCACACGUAAUCAUUGAUGCUCCCUUUGUCCCAAAUAAACCGACAAGUUUGAUUGUUUCACACAUGACAAUGCACAAUUUUAAUAUUUAAUAUUUUUAAUUAUCUAUUAGCAAAAAUUAUAAUAAAAAAAUUGAUAAUUUGAAAACAUUCAUCGAGACAAAUCCAACAACAUCUUAUAUAUGACCGAUUUAUUUUUAUAUCUUACUACUAGAAAACUAUAGUCAAAGUACAUUAUAUGAAAAGUGCAAAUAAUCAAACUAAGUCAGUUAAUUUGGGACGGAUGGAGUAUUGGAGAGAAUUGUGGUCAAUUGCGAAGUCAAUCGCAGUCCAGCUCGCAGUCGUGCACCUUUAUUUACAACCCUGUAAACGACAUCAUGGUUUUUUAUGUCUUUAAGAUAUCACCAAGAACUAAUUUCAAUCCUUAUUCUCAACAAUAUCAAUCACAAAAACAAAUUUUCUUUUUUCACAAUUUAAACAUUCAAUUCAAGUGAUAACCCAAAAACGCAUAAACAAUAGAGUUAGAGUUGAAGAUUAUGCUAUAAAGAAAACUUACAAUAAGCAGCAUCUUGAACAAUCUUUUCAAGAGUAUCAUAAACAAUUUUGCUAUCAACAAGAAACCUCAAAUACCCAUCAACACUAGGUUCCCACUUUGUGACAGCUCUCUCUUCAGGCUCUGUAACUUCUUUCUCACCUUCUUUAGCCUGGUCCUUUGUAUGUAACCUCAUAGCCACAAACCUCAUCUCCUCCACAAACCCCUUUGACUCACCUGGAUGACGCUUCUUCUCCGCCGCUGCCGAAGUCGCCGAGACAAUAACCGUCGAUUGUUUCAUAGGAGGCAUCCUGUUAAACGAGGAGAAUGAUAGUUUCUUUUGGAAGAAGAAAUUGGAACGGAAUUGAUGAGUUGAGAAUUGGGGGUAAUUGGUUUUAUAAUGAAAAAUGGAUUGGAUUUGGUAGAGAGGUGUUAGUGACGCCAUGGAUUG
Molecule: long non-coding RNA, 3260 nt
Filed under: Medicago truncatula (barrel medic)
Lineage: Eukaryota; Viridiplantae; Streptophyta; Magnoliopsida; Fabales; Fabaceae
Description: lncRNA gene10037
Source: RNAcentral